This 565-nucleotide ribosomal RNA is filed under the name uncultured bacterium. Its description in RNAcentral is "partial 16S ribosomal RNA". It matches the Rfam family "Bacterial small subunit ribosomal RNA", at positions 355 to 932 of the family's 1533-position model. The record is from RNAcentral.
UGGGGAAUAUUGCACAAUGGGCGAAAGCCUGAUGCAGCGACGCCGCGUGCGGGAUGACGGCCUUCGGGUUGUAAACCGCUUUCGGCAGGGAAGAAGCCGCAAGGUGACGGUACCUGCAGAAGAAGCGCCGGCUAACUACGUGCCAGCAGCCGCGGUAAUACGUAGGGCGCAAGCGUUGUCCGGAAUUAUUGGGCGUAAAGAGCUCGUAGGCGGUUCGUCGCGUCUGCUGUGAAAUCCUCAGGCUCAACCUGGGGCGUGCAGUGGGUACGGGCGGACUAGAGUGCGGUAGGGGUGACUGGAAUUCCUGGUGUAGCGGUGGAAUGCGCAGAUAUCAGGAGGAACACCGAUGGCGAAGGCAGGUCACUGGGCCGCAACUGACGCUGAGGAGCGAAAGCACGGGGAGCGAACAGGAUUAGAUACCCUGGUAGUCCAUGCCGUAAACGUUGGGCACUAGGUGUGGGGUCCAUUCCACGGAUUCCGUGCCGCAGCAAAGCGCAUUAAGUGCCCCGCCUGGGGAGUACGGCCGCAAGGCUAAAACUUAAAGGAAUUGACGGGGUCAUAGCUG